UGACGGCACCCUGUACCCCGAUCUGUGCGCCUCCACACUCUCCACCAUUCCGGAUUUGCAUUCCAAGUCCCUCCCUGAGGUCAUCUGCGCCACCAUCAAUGCCAGCGAAGCCGCCGUUAUCAAGUCCGCCAAGAACUGUACCAAAUACCUCCACCACCACAACUACACCCUCGACACCCGCCAACGCUACGCCCUCACCGACUGUCUCGAUCUCUUUUCGCAAACUCUCGACGAGCUGCUCGACGCCACCUCCGACCUCACCGCCAACCCCGGCUCCCACGUCGACCAUGUCCAGACACUGCUCUCCGCCGCCAUCACCAACCAGUAUACCUGUCUUGACGGCUUCGCCUACGUCGGCAAAGAUGGCGGGUACCGUUCGGUCAUUGAACAGCCGCUCU
Molecule: long non-coding RNA, 398 nt
Filed under: Musa acuminata (dwarf banana)
Lineage: Eukaryota; Viridiplantae; Streptophyta; Magnoliopsida; Zingiberales; Musaceae
Description: long non-coding RNA (MACU_LNC006419)
Source: RNAcentral